AGUGAACGCUGGCGGUAGGCCUAACACAUGCAAGUCGAACGGCAGCACAGUAAGAGCUUGCUCUUACGGGUGGCGAGUGGCGGACGGGUGAGGAAUACAUCGGAAUCUACUUUUUCGUGGGGGAUAACGUAGGGAAACUUACGCUAAUACCGCAUACGACCUACGGGUGAAAGCAGGGGAUCUUCGGACCUUGCGCGAUUGAAUGAGCCGAUGUCGGAUUAGCUAGUUGGCGGGGUAAAGGCCCACCAAGGCGACGAUCCGUAGCUGGUCUGAGAGGAUGAUCAGCCACACUGGAACUGAGACACGGUCCAGACUCCUACGGGAGGCAGCAGUGGGGAAUAUUGGACGAUGGGCGCAAGCCUGAUCCAGCCAUACCGCGUGGGUGAAGAAGGCCUUCGGGUUGUAAAGCCCUUUUGUUGGGAAAGAAAAGCAGCAGGUUAAUACCCCGCUGUUCUGACGGUACCCAAAGAAUAAGCACCGACUAACUUCGUG
This 492-nucleotide ribosomal RNA is filed under the name uncultured bacterium. RNAcentral describes it as "partial 16S ribosomal RNA". It matches the Rfam family "Bacterial small subunit ribosomal RNA", at positions 29 to 507 of the family's 1533-position model. The record is from RNAcentral.